AGUGGCCUAAUAAGUCACUGGCCUCCCAAGCCAGGGAUUGUGGGUUUAAAUCCCAUCUUGUUUAUACCA
Molecule: non-coding RNA, 69 nt
Organism: Merluccius polli (Benguela hake)
Lineage: Eukaryota; Metazoa; Chordata; Actinopteri; Gadiformes; Merlucciidae
Source: the annotation of a GenBank genome assembly